Molecule: long non-coding RNA, 3237 nt
Organism: Homo sapiens (human)
Lineage: Eukaryota; Metazoa; Chordata; Mammalia; Primates; Hominidae
Gene: GFOD3P
Product: Gfo/Idh/MocA-like oxidoreductase domain containing 3, pseudogene
Source: Ensembl
CUUUGAUCCGGUUUUCCAGUUCUUGCACAAGCAAGUUUGUGUCAGCCACGCCCUGGGGAGGAUCCACUGGAUCACCGCCGUCACUGCCUGUUCCCGGCGGCCUCUCCGGCUUCCCUAAAGAGAGCAGCUUCCCUCGAGACCAGAAGCCAGAGCUCACCCUCCCUUGUGUCCAGGUGGGACUUUCUACAACGCUGCUGUGCACGACGUGGAUGCCGUAUGCAUGUUGCUGGGGGAAGCCACUCCGGACACUGUGUUUUCUCUGGGACAUGUCUUCUGCCCAGGUAAGAGUGGGCCUCACUGUUGCAAGGUGCUCCUAUGGCCACCGAGGCUGGUUGAAGAUGUAGCACAGGCUGGGGCCCCUGUUCAGGAUUCCUCCCCCACUCCCAGCUUUGGGGAGCAGAUAAAGUAACAUGGAGCACAUGUAAAACAGAUGACUAAAUGGUCGCGUCACUGAAUCCCUCAGGCAUCAUGCAGGAAGUGUUUCACAUUUGAUGAACUUUGAGAGUCACUGUUGUAGUAACCAUUUCUCCAGCCCCUGCGAUGUGACAGGCCCCUGUCGUUUCUCAGGUUGCAAAGGUGAAGAAACACAGUCCCGGCUGGAAGUCACAGCCAGGGUGGGAUGCACACAGAUUAGCAGAUCAUCAGCGAGCACCAGGUGAAGGCGGGGCUGGGGAUGCUGGUUCCUAGGUCCUGGCCUGGCAGCAGAAGCUCAGGGUGGGUCCUGAGGGCUGCUGAAGAGGACAGAUUAUCUGUUGCUUUAUGACACACCACACACUUGAAACAACAGCCACUGGGUAGUUAGGAUUUUGCAGCCUGGACUGGGCUUGGCUGGAGUCCCUCUUCUGGUCUGCCCGGUGGUCACUCACGUGACUACAGCCAGCUGGUCAGCGGCCUGCCUGGAACAGCCCCACCAGGGUCCCAGGGCCGGGCCCCGCUGUCACCUGGGUUCUCUUCCGUGUCGUCCCCACGCCUCCUCAGGUCCCCACAGCAGCGUGGCCACACAUUUGAUGGCCUCAGGGGACCAAAGUAGAAGCACUGAGACAUCCUGAGGCUUGGGCCGGGACUGACGUGGUACCCCUCACACCACACUUUGUGUACUGGGGCAAGUCCAGGCCCAGCCAGUGCCAGUGCUGACUUCUCUCAGUGCCUGCUUCACUCUGUCUCGUCAGCACCCCCUUUUGGCACUGCCUCCCCCGUCUGCCCAAAGUUCACCCACACACCCUGCUCCGCUGGCCACCACCCCGAUCCCAGCCAUGUCCUCAUCCUGGCUGUGGCCAUCUGCCUGCAAUCUCUUCCCUGUAAGACCUCAGUUGGACCAGGUGCCCACCUGCUCUGAGCUCUCCAGAGCACAGGUGGAGGCCAUGGUCUCCGCAGACCCCGCGGGCCUGUCACCGGUCGAGGGUCUUGACUGCACAUUGUCCAGGUUCUUGGCCUUUUGAACAAAGAAUUGGACAAAACACCCAGCAAAGCAAAGAAAGGAUGAAGCAACAAAAGUACGAAAGCAGGGAUUUAUUGAAAAUGAAACACACUCCACAGUGUGGGAGCGGCCCGAGCAGCAGCUCUAGGGCCGGAUACAGAAUCUUCUUGGGCCCAAAUACCCCCUAGAAGUUUCCCAUUGGCCACUUCAUGCUCACCUCAUGUAAACGAAGUGGUUGCAAAAAGCAACCAGUCAGAGGCUGGAGUGAAGUUACAAAGUUAUACUUCUGUGCAGAUGAAAACUCAGCCUGUAAUCAGUCUGAUUGGUGUGAACAGCGACCAUUCAGAGGCUGGAGUGAGUGAAGUUACAAAGUUGCAAAGGAAGACUUGACCCACAAUCAGUCUGAUUUGUUGCAGACAGCCAGUUUCCCAUCUGCCAGGCAGAAAACGUGAGUGGGGUUUGCAAAGGCCUCCGGUCCUUUUGUUACUUAGGAGUGGAAAGUUAGGGUUUUCCCUUCAACAUAGUUCAAGGAAGUUGUGAAACAGCCUUAGGUUCCCUGCCUCCAGACCCUAAUCUCCUGCCUCAGGCUCACGGGUGCCGCCCCCCGCAACCCCACUGUCCUCUUGUCCACUUCUCGCUCUUCCUCAGAAGGCCAGACAAGUACCUGUCUGGGGCCCGCUCCCCGGGUGGGACAUGGGGACUGGCUCUGCUAGGCCCAUGGCUGUACUCCCAGGGUCCAGAAGGUGCCUGGGCCCGGGACCGCCAACGCUACAGAAGCUUAGCAAACACGGAAUUGGACUGCUUGCUGGGCAGCGUCCCCGUGCCUCUCAGGGACCCAUUUUGGAACAAUUUAAUUUUCUAUUAAGGACCAGUUUCUGUGUCACUACUUGGCUAUGCCCUCCGCCCACUGCUUCAGUUAAAGCCGUGAGUUCAGGCCGGGUGUGGUGGUAUUCCCAGCACUUUGGGAGGCCCAGGCUGCAGGAUCACUUGAGGUCAGGAGUUCGAAACCAGCCUGGCCAACAUGGUGAAACCCGUCUCUACUAAAAAUACAAAAAAAAUCAGCCGGGUGUGAUAGUGAACGCCUGUAAUCCCAGCUACUUGAGAGGCUGAGGCAGGAGAAUUGCUUGAACCUGGGAGGCAGAGUUUGCAGUGAGCCAAGAUCGUGCCACUGCACUCCAGCCUGGGUGACAGCAAGAUUCUCUCAAAAACAAAACCAAACAAAACAGUUUCUCAUUUGCCUAAAUCAACUUUUGUAUCAUCUAAAGUUUUCUUCUGCUUAGAUAUGGCCGCCUUAAAAGAUGCAGAUGCUGUUGUGAUCAGCAUGAAGUUUCCCUGUGAGGCCGUGGUUAGCGUGGACAUCAGCCAGCACUGCACAGACAGCUGCGACCAGGACGUCAGCCAGCACUGCACAGACAGCUGCGACCAGAGACUGGAGGUGACCCUUGCCCUUUUCCACCCUUCGCCAGUCCACUGUGAAAAGCUGGGUUGAUUGUGCGGGUUAGAUAGAGGUCAUCAGCCGGGUUGAUUGUGUGGGUUAGACAGAGGUCAUCAGCCAGGUUGAUUGUGUGGGUUAGAUAGAGAUCAUCAGCCUGGUAGAUUGUGUGGGUUAGAUAGAGGUCAUCAGCCAGGUUGAUUGUGCGGGUUAGAUAGAGAUCAUCAGCCGGGUUGAUUCUACAGGUUAGAUAGAGGUCGUCAGCCGGGUUGAUUGUGCGGGUUAGAUAGAGAUCAUCAGCCGGGUUGAUUGUGCGGGUUAGAUAGAGGUCAUCAGCUGGGUUGAUUGUGUGGGUUAGAUAGAGAUCAUCAGCUGGGUUGAUUGUGUG